RNAcentral lists this long non-coding RNA (696 nucleotides) under Gossypium barbadense (sea-island cotton). Its description in RNAcentral is "long non-coding RNA (GBAR_LNC000471)". Lineage: Eukaryota; Viridiplantae; Streptophyta; Magnoliopsida; Malvales; Malvaceae. The record is from RNAcentral.
UGCAGACUCUCUCUCCCUCUCCUAAAACCACAUCUAAUUUGUAAACCACUGUCUCCCUCAGUCUCUCACCCUCUCCUACACGCAAUCUUUAUAUUUUCCAAGCCUAGCAUGGGGAGCACCACGUCUUGCAAUGCCCCUAGCCAUGCCAUAUAAGGACAUUUGCUACAACUGAUCCAACAAUGGUUGAAGCUGUGCAAAUACCGAGGCCAUCACCGGAAGAAAGUGCAUGAGAACAAUGAGCCAUGGUGUUUUCUGUCAUGUUCACUUCUGGAUGCUCCGUUUCAAGCCAUUUGUACUAAGGUAUGGAUGUCCCUGUUAUAAGCAUUUUCUGUGGAUCAUUGAGAUAUUUCCAGAGUUGCUCAUAACAUUCAAACUAGAUAAAAAAAAAUCUUAUGUUCAACAAGUAAACGCAGCUAAGUGCAAGUCUACAACAACUAGGUUGCUUGGCAAGUAAUCAAAAGUAGAAAACAAAGAACCGACAUUUUCUGAUGAAAGGCUUUUUAUUUUUUAUUUUUUAACCCCACUAAUGUGAUAAAAAUGAAUCACCAUAAGUUUCUGGGGCAUUAACAACGACUAUUCAUCACAGAAUGAGGCCCAAACAAGAUCACAAUUGAUGUGAAUAGUUAUGGAUUAGUAUUGCCGGUUUGAGAAGCACAAAUAAGUUGAAUGGUAAAAUCAAAAUUAUUUCUUCCUUCU